UCUGCUGCACGUUGUCUUCUGGUCACACAGAACACAGCCACAAGUAUGUGGACAGGUGAGGUAAACUACAGGUGAGGUAAACUACAGGUGAGGUAAACUACAGGUGAGACAAACUACAGGUGAGACAAACUACAGGUGAGGUAAACUACAGGUGAGACAAACUACAGGUGAGGUAAACUACAGGUGAGACAAACUACAGGUGAGGUAAACUACAGGUGAGACAAACUACAGGUGAGGUAAACUACAGGUGAGACAAACUACAGGUGAGGUAAACUACAGGUGAGGUAAACUACAGGUGAGACAAACUACAGGUGAGGUAAACUACAGGUGAGGUAAACUACAGGUGAGGUAAACUACAGGUGAGUUAAACUACAGGUGAGACAAACUACAGGUGAGGUAAACUACAGGUGAGUUAAACUACAGGUGAGGCAAACUAUAGGUGAGGCAAACUACAGGUGAGUUAAACUACAGGUGAGUUAAACUACAGGUGAGACAAACUACAGGUGAGGUAAACUACAGGUGAGGUAAACUACAGGUGAGACAAACUACAGGUGAGGUAAACUACAGGUGAGGUAAACUACAGGUGAGGUAAACUACAGGUGAGUUAAACUACAGGUGAGACAAACUACAGGUGAGGUAAACUACAGGUGAGGUAAACUACAGGUGAGACAAACUACAGGUGAGGUAAACUACAGGUGAGGUAAACUACAGGUGAGGUAAACUACAGGUGAGUUAAACUACAGGUGAGACAAACUACAGGUGAGGUAAACUACAGGUGAGGUAAACUACAGGUGAGGUAAACUACAGGUGAGACAAACUACAGGUGAGGUAAACUACAGGUGAGUUAAACUACAGGUGAGACAAACUACAGGUGAGGUAAACUACAGGUGAGGUAAACUACAGGUGAGGUAAACUACAGGUGAGAAACUACAGGUGAGACAAACUACAGGUGAGGUAAACUACAGGUGAGGUAAACUACAGGUGAGACAAACUACAGGUGAGGUAAACUACAGGUGAGGUAAACUACAGGUGAGACAAACUACAGGUGAGGUAAACUACAGGUGAGGUAAACUACAGGUGAGUUAAACUACAGGUGAGGCAAACUACAGGUGAGGCAAACUACAGGUGAGUUAAACUACAGGUGAGGUAAACUACAGGUGAGGUAAACUACAGGUGAGACAAACUACAGGUGAGGUAAACUACAGGUGAGGUAAACUACAGGUGAGGUAAACUACAGGUGAGACAAACUACAGGUGAGACAAACUACAGGUGAGGUAAACUACAGGUGAGGUAAACUACAGGUGAGACAAACUACAGGUGAGGUAAACUACAGGUGAGACAAACUACAGGUGAGGUAAACUACAGGUGAGACAAACUACAGGUGAGGUAAACUACAGGUGAGGUAAACUACAGGUGAGACAAACUACAGGUGAGGUAAACUACAGGUGAGGUAAACUACAGGUGAGACAAACUACAGGUGAGACAAACUACAGGUGAGGUAAACUACAGGUGAGGUAAACUACAGGUGAGGUAAACUACAGGUGAGACAAACUACAGGUGAGACAAACUACAGGUGAGGUAAACUUCAGGUGAGGUAAACUACAGGUGAGACAAACUACAGGUGAGGUAAACUACAGGUGAGGUAAACUACAGGUGAGACAAACUACAGGUGAGACAAACUACAGGUGAGGUAAACUACAGGUGAGUUAAACUACAGGUGAGACAAACUACAGGUGAGGUAAACUACAUGUGAGGUAAACUACAGGUGAGUUAAACUACAGGUGAGGUAAACUACAGGUGAGUUAAACUACAGGUGAGUUAAAC
This is a long non-coding RNA of Acanthochromis polyacanthus (spiny chromis), 1824 nucleotides long. RefSeq lists it as uncharacterized. The transcript is spliced from 7 exons. NCBI's taxonomy places the organism in Eukaryota, Metazoa, Chordata, Actinopteri, Pomacentridae. The record is from RefSeq and is a predicted model, not a curated record.